Molecule: non-coding RNA, 22 nt
Filed under: Arabidopsis thaliana (thale cress)
Lineage: Eukaryota; Viridiplantae; Streptophyta; Magnoliopsida; Brassicales; Brassicaceae
Also listed under: 2 other names
Source: RNAcentral
GGGAGUUUGGCUGGGGCGGCAC